RNAcentral lists this ribosomal RNA (301 nucleotides) under uncultured bacterium. RNAcentral describes it as "partial 16S ribosomal RNA". It matches the Rfam family "Bacterial small subunit ribosomal RNA", at positions 509 to 807 of the family's 1533-position model. The record is from RNAcentral.
CAGUCGCCGCGGUAAAACGUAGGGUGCAAGCGUUAAUCGGAAUUACUGGGCGUAAAGCGUGCGCAGGCGGUUAUAUAAGACAGAUGUGAAAUCCCCGGGCUCAACCUGGGAACUGCAUUUGUGACUGUAUAGCUAGAGUACGGCAGAGGGGGAUGGAAUUCCGCGUGUAGCAGUGAAAUGCGUAGAUAUGCGGAGGAACACCGAUGGCGAAGGCAAUCCCCUGGGCCUGUACUGACGCUCAUGCACGAAAGCGUGGGGAGCAAACAGGAUUAGAUACCCGGGUAGUCCCUGUCUCUUAUAC